AGGCUAACACAUGCAAGUCGAGGGGUAUAAGUCUUCGGAUUUAGAGACCGGCGCACGGGUGCGUAACGCGUAUGCAAUCUGCCUUACACUAAGGGAUAGCCCAGAGAAAUUUGGAUUAAUACCUUAUAGUAUAUGAUGGGGACAUCCCUGACAUAUUAAAGUUCCAACGGUGUAAGAUGAGCAUGCGUCCCAUUAGUUAGUUGGUGUGGUAACGGCACACCAAGACAAUGAUGGGUAGGGGUCCUGAGAGGGAGUUCCCCACACUGGUACUGAGACACGGACCAGACUCCUACGGGAGGCAGCAGUGAGGAAUAUUGGUCAAUGGGCGCAAGCCUGAACCAGCCAUGCCGCGUGCAGGAUGACGCAUCUAUGGUGUGUAAACUGCUUUUGUACGGGAAGAAACCCUGCCACGUGUGGCAGAUUGACGGUACCGUAAGAAUAAGGAUCGGCUAACUCCGUGCCAGCAGCCGCGGUAAUACGGAGGAUCCAAGCGUUAUCCGGAA
RNAcentral lists this ribosomal RNA (503 nucleotides) under uncultured eubacterium WJGRT-32. RNAcentral's name for it is "bacterial SSU rRNA". It matches the Rfam family "Bacterial small subunit ribosomal RNA", at positions 44 to 550 of the family's 1533-position model. The record is from RNAcentral.